UACGUAGGGUGCGAGCGUUAAUCGGAAUUACUGGGCGUAAAGCGUGCGCAGGCGGUUUCGUAAGACAGAUGUGAAAUCCCCGGGCUUAACCUGGGAACUGCGUUUGUGACUGCGAGACUUGAGUGCGGCAGAGGGGGGUGGAAUUCCACGUGUAGCAGUGAAAUGCGUAGAGAUGUGGAGGAACACCGAUGGCGAAGGCAGCCCCCUGGGUCGACACUGACGCUCAUGCACGAAAGCGUGGGGAGCAAACAGGAUUAGAUACCCCGUGUAGUCC
RNAcentral lists this ribosomal RNA (274 nucleotides) under uncultured bacterium. RNAcentral describes it as "partial 16S ribosomal RNA". It matches the Rfam family "Bacterial small subunit ribosomal RNA", at positions 524 to 796 of the family's 1533-position model. The record is from RNAcentral.